RNAcentral lists this ribosomal RNA (468 nucleotides) under uncultured bacterium. Its description in RNAcentral is "partial 16S ribosomal RNA". It matches the Rfam family "Bacterial small subunit ribosomal RNA", at positions 28 to 507 of the family's 1533-position model. The record is from RNAcentral.
GACGAACGCUGGCGGCGUGCUUAACACAUGCAAGUCGAACGGCAAGGCCCUGCUUUUUUGGUGUGCUCGAUUGGCGAACGGGUGAGUAACACGUGAGUAACCUGCCCUUGACUUUGGGAUAACUUCAGGAAACUGGGGCUAAUAUCGGAUAGGAGCUCCUGCUGCAUGGUGGGGGUUGGAAAGUUUCGGCGGUUGGGGAUGGACUCGCGGCUUAUCAGCUUGUUGGUGGGGUAGUGGCUUACCAAGGCUUUGACGGGUAGCCGGCAUGAGAGGGUGACCGGCCACAAGGGGACUGAGAGACGGCGCAGACGGCUACGGGAGGCAGCAGUGGGGAAUAUUGCACAAUGGGCGGAAGCCUGAGGCAGAGACGCCGCGUGCGGGAUGACGGCCUUCGGGUUGUAAACCGCUUUCGCCUGUGACGAAGCGUGAGUGACGGUAAUGGGUAAAGAAGCACCGGCUAACUACGUG